CAGUGAUAAACUGGAGGAAGGUGGGGAUGACGUCAAGUCAUCAUGGCCCUUACGACCAGGGCUACACACGUGCUACAAUGGCGCAUACAAAGAGAAGCGACCUCGCGAGAGCAAGCGGACCUCAUAAAGUGCGUCGUAGUCCGGAUUGGAGUCUGCAACUCGACUCCAUGAAGUCGGAAUCGCUAGUAAUCGUGGAUCAGAAUGCCACGGUGAAUACGUUCCCGGGCCUUGUACACACCGCCCGUCACACCAUGGGAGUGGGUUGCAAAAGAAGUAGGUAGCUUAACCUUCGG
RNAcentral lists this ribosomal RNA (293 nucleotides) under Salmonella enterica. RNAcentral describes it as "partial 16S ribosomal RNA". It matches the Rfam family "Bacterial small subunit ribosomal RNA", at positions 1153 to 1445 of the family's 1533-position model. RNAcentral also lists the same sequence under 3 other names. Lineage: Bacteria; Pseudomonadati; Pseudomonadota; Gammaproteobacteria; Enterobacterales; Enterobacteriaceae. The record is from RNAcentral.